Molecule: ribosomal RNA, 749 nt
Filed under: uncultured bacterium
Lineage: Bacteria
Description: bacterial SSU rRNA
Rfam family: Bacterial small subunit ribosomal RNA
Source: RNAcentral
GGCUUAACUGGGAGCGGUCUAUGGAUACUGCCAGGCUAGAGAUCAUCAGAGGAGAGCGGAAUUCCCGGUGUAGUGGUGAAAUGCGUAGAUAUCGGGAGGAACACCAGUGGCGAAAGCGGCUCUCUGGGGUGGUUCUGACGCUGAGGGGCGAAAGCGUGGGGAGCAAACCGGAUUAGAUACCCGGGUAGUCCACGCCCUAAACGAUGAAUGCUAAGUCUCCGGGGUAUCCACCCCCUGUGGGCUGUAGUUAACGCGUUAAGCAUUCCGCCUGGGGACUACGGCCGCAAGGCUAAAACUCAAAGGAAUUGACGGGACCCCGCACAAGCAGCGGAGCGUGUGGUUUAAUUCGAUGCUAAGCGAAGAACCUUACCUAGGCUUGACAUGUAAGUGGUACCGAUUCGAAAGAUGAGGGACCCGCAAGGGAGCUUACACAGGUGCUGCAUGGCUGUCGUCAGCUCGUGCCGUGAGGUGUCGGUUUAAGUACCGCAACGAGCGCAACCCUCGUCGUUAGUUGUAUUUUCUAGCGAGACUGCCCGAAGGGAGGAAGGUGGGGAUGACGUCGAGUCAUCAUGGCUCUUACGUCUAGGGCUACACACACGCUACAAUGGCCGGUACAGACGGCUGCGAAGCCGCGAGGUGGAGCUAAUCCGAAAAAACCGGCCCCAGUUGGAAUUGCAGGCUGAAACUCGCCUGCAUGAACGUGGAGUUGCUAGUAAACGCAGGUCAGCACACUGCGUUGAAUACGUUCC